UAAGCUAGAGUAUNUCAGAGGGGGGUAGAAUUCCACGUGUAGCAGUGAAAUGCGUAGAGAUGUGGAGGAAUACCGAUGGCGAAGGCAGCCCCCUGGGAUAAUACUGACGUUCAUGCUCGAAAGCGUGGGUAGCAAACAGGAUUAGAUACCCUGGUAGUCCACGCCCUAAACGAUGUCAUUUAGCUGUUGGGGCACUUGAUGCCUUAGUAGCGAAGCUAACGCGUGAAAUUGACCGCCUGGGGAGUACGGUCGCAAGAUUAAAACUCAAAGGAAUUGACGGGGACCCGCACAAGCGGUGGAUGAUGUGGAUUAAUUCGAUGCAACGCGAAGAACCUUACCUGGUCUUGACAUGUACGGAAUCUUCCAGAGACGGAAGAGUGCCUUCGGGAGCCGUAACACAGGCGCUGCAUGGCUGUCGUCAGCUCGUGUCGUGAGAUGUUGGGUUAAGUCCCGCAACGAGCGCAACCCUUGUCAUUAGUUGCCACCAUUCAGUUGGGCACUCUAAUGAGACUGCCGGUGACAAACCGGAGGAAGGUGGGGAUGACGUCAAGUCCUCAUGGCCCUUAUGACCAGGGCUUCACACGUCAUACAAUGGUCGGUACAGAGGGUAGCCAAGCCGCGAGGUGGAGCCAAUCUCAGAAAACCGAUCGUAGUCCGGAUUGCACUCUGCAACUCGAGUGCAUGAAGUCGGAAUCGCUAGUAAUCGCAGGUCAGCAUACUGCGGUGAAUACGUUCCCGGGUCUUGUACACACCGCCCGUCACACCAUGGGAGUGGGGGAUACCAGAAGU
This 789-nucleotide ribosomal RNA is filed under the name uncultured bacterium. RNAcentral describes it as "bacterial SSU rRNA". It matches the Rfam family "Bacterial small subunit ribosomal RNA", at positions 637 to 1427 of the family's 1533-position model. The record is from RNAcentral.